Long non-coding RNA from Bos taurus (domestic cattle), 1139 nucleotides. The record is from Ensembl. NCBI's taxonomy places the organism in Eukaryota, Metazoa, Chordata, Mammalia, Artiodactyla, Bovidae.
ACUCUCCCGCCCGCGCCUCCAGAAUUCAGGCGGGGCGCUGGAAGUUGUGUGAGCAGGCCGAUGAGUGCUUGCUUACGUCGAGGGGAGCGCCAGCUCCUGUUUCUCGUGUACGGGGGAAGCCCGGGGAACAGCAGGGGCGUCUUGGCCCGGGCAGGGAAGCGGAAGUCAGCGCCGAAGCCGCGGCAGGAGGUCCUGCCGCCCCCGAGGCCGGUUCAGAUGUGCUCCUGCCCAAAACGCGAAAGUGAGGCUGGAGUGUGGCCUUGAGCGGCUUUCUGUAGAAGGCAGUGGCCAAGAGCGCACCUCGCUUCUGGUAACAAGCUCAUACUUUAGUUUCUGCGAGUACUUGAUUGGAUGUCUCCCCUUAUUCUUUAACUCCCUUGGGCUUUUGGACAUCUCACAGAAGCCAGUGCCAGGAGCCCAGCUCUGGAGAAAGACUUGACUGAAUCUCAGCUCCACUACUGACUAACUCAAUGAAGUGAAGUUGAUCAGUCAUGUCCGAUUCUUUGCGACUCCAUGGACUGUAGCCUACCAGGCUCCACCGUCGAUGGGAUUCUCCAGGCAAGAAUACUGGAGUGGGUUGCCAUUUCCUUCUCCAGGAGAGCUUCCCGACCCAGGGAUUGAACCCUGAUCUCCCGGGUUGUAGGCAGACACUUUACCGUCUGAGCCACAAGACAAAUAACUCAAUGCUUUGAGGCAAAUUGCUUAAUCUCGCUACACUGCAGUUUCCAACACUAUGACAUGAAGGUAAUAAUAGUAAUACCCACCUAACAAGACUGACUGGAGGAUUCAGUGAAAUGAUUCAUGUAGAGUUCAUCUAGCCUUAUCUGUCAGAACCAUGAGCCCCCUUUCUCCUAAGCUACCCUGGAUAACCCCUCUUUUACAUCCUGUUACCUUGCCACCUUUACCAUUAAGAAGGAGGUGACAUGACAUGUUUUCUUUGUGUACAUAAAGGUGGAUUGUUUCCUUAAUAUGCUAAGUUCUUGAAACAUACAUGUCUGUGUAUAUUCUGACAUCAGUUCGAUAUAUUUCACAUAGCUUGUGUUCAAUAAAUGUUUGUAGAUUGAUUGAAAUCUCUCUGAUAUCUAGAAAGAUUUUUCUAGAAAAAUUUGAAGUUAUAGAAAGGGAAAACUCUUCAUGGG